RNAcentral lists this ribosomal RNA (1522 nucleotides) under Shigella boydii. Its description in RNAcentral is "bacterial SSU rRNA". It matches the Rfam family "Bacterial small subunit ribosomal RNA". Lineage: Bacteria; Pseudomonadati; Pseudomonadota; Gammaproteobacteria; Enterobacterales; Enterobacteriaceae. The record is from RNAcentral.
AGAGUUUGAUCAUGGCUCAGAUUGAACGCUGGCGGCAGGCCUAACACAUGCAAGUCGAACGGUAACAGGAAGCAGCUUGCUGCUUCGCUGACGAGUGGCGGACGGGUGAGUAAUGUCUGGGAAACUGCCUGAUGGAGGGGGAUAACUACUGGAAACGGUAGCUAAUACCGCAUAAUGUCGCAAGACCAAAGAGGGGGACCUUCGGGCCUCUUGCCAUCGGAUGUGCCCAGAUGGGAUUAGCUUGUUGGUGGGGUAACGGCUCACCAAGGCGACGAUCCCUAGCUGGUCUGAGAGGAUGACCAGCCACACUGGAACUGAGACACGGUCCAGACUCCUACGGGAGGCAGCAGUGGGGAAUAUUGCACAAUGGGCGCAAGCCUGAUGCAGCCAUGCCGCGUGUAUGAAGAAGGCCUUCGGGUUGUAAAGUACUUUCAGCGGGGAGGAAGGGAGUAAAGUUAAUACCUUUGCUCAUUGACGUUACCCGCAGAAGAAGCACCGGCUAACUCCGUGCCAGCAGCCGCGGUAAUACGGAGGGUGCAAGCGUUAAUCGGAAUUACUGGGCGUAAAGCGCACGCAGGCGGUUUGUUAAGUCAGAUGUGAAAUCCCCGGGCUCAACCUGGGAACUGCAUCUGAUACUGGCAAGCUUGAGUCUCGUAGAGGGGGGUAGAAUUCCAGGUGUAGCGGUGAAAUGCGUAGAGAUCUGGAGGAAUACCGGUGGCGAAGGCGGCCCCCUGGACGAAGACUGACGCUCAGGUGCGAAAGCGUGGGGAGCAAACAGGAUUAGAUACCCUGGUAGUCCACGCCGUAAACGAUGUCGACUUGGAGGUUGUGCCCUUGAGGCGUGGCUUCCGGAGCUAACGCGUUAAGUCGACCGCCUGGGGAGUACGGCCGCAAGGUUAAAACUCAAAUGAAUUGACGGGGGCCCGCACAAGCGGUGGAGCAUGUGGUUUAAUUCGAUGCAACGCGAAGAACCUUACCUGGUCUUGACAUCCACGGAAGUUUUCAGAGAUGAGAAUGUGCCUUCGGGAACCGUGAGACAGGUGCUGCAUGGCUGUCGUCAGCUCGUGUUGUGAAAUGUUGGGUUAAGUCCCGCAACGAGCGCAACCCUUAUCCUUUGUUGCCAGCGGUCCGGCCGGGAACUUAAAGGAGACUGCCAGUGAUAAACUGGAGGAAGGUGGGGAUGACGUCAAGUCAUCAUGGCCCUUACGACCAGGGCUACACACGUGCUACAAUGGCGCAUACAAAGAGAAGCGACCUCGCGAGAGCAAGCGGACCUCAUAAAGUGCGUCGUAGUCCGGAUUGGAGUCUGCAACUCGACUCCAUGAAGUCGGAAUCGCUAGUAAUCGUGGAUCAGAAUGCCACGGUGAAUACGUUCCCGGGCCUUGUACACACCGCCCGUCACACCAUGGGAGUGGGUUGCAAAAGAAGUAGGUAGCUUAACCUUCGGGAGGGCGCUUACCACUUUGUGAUUCAUGACUGGGGUGAAGUCGUAACAAGGUAACCGUAGGGGAACCUGCGGUUG